This is an unclassified non-coding RNA of Chelonoidis abingdonii (Abingdon island giant tortoise), 181 nucleotides long. The record is from Ensembl. NCBI's taxonomy places the organism in Eukaryota, Metazoa, Chordata, Testudines, Testudinidae.
CUGGCGGCCAUUAAGACUGAAGUCUUCUGUUUAUCCACAGAACAGAUACAGCACAGGCAGUGGCAGUGCAAGAUUUUUUACACACGCAUUCCUGCCAAUGUGCCUCACCCCUGACCUGAUGGGGCAUCUGUAUAGGUGAGAGGAUAGCUCAGUCUCUAUGCCCUUUCAGCGCUUGACCUAU